CUUUCCUCUUUCCCAAAUCAACCAACACUCAACAGUACUGUAAAAUCGGGCUCUCUCCAAGCGAAUCAGAAGCAGAGUCGACAGUGUCCGUACAGAAGAAAUGCAAGCUCUGCGACUGAGCAAGAAAACGACGACGCUCUCUUCACGUGCUCUCUUCCUCACCGCUUCCUCUUCCUCGUUCCCAUGCCGAACCCUAACCACUCUCCGACCCUCUCCGCUGCCGUCACCCGCCUGUCACCCUGACACCAAUCGUGGCGCCGACACGCGGGUCUCCCUUACCAUCAGCAACCUCCUCCUCCGCUCUCCUUGGUCCGUCACUCAACAUCGCGGGAUGAAAGUCUCCGGUUCCGAUGUCAAAGUUGGAAAUGUGAUCGAAAAAAAAGGACGUAUGUACCAGGUCGUUAAGACAGAUCAUUCCCAUGAAGGAAGAGGCAAAGCUACGAUAAAGGUGGAGCUUCGUGACAUUGAGAGUGGAAAUAAAGUAUCCCAGCGACUGGGUACCGAUGAGAAUGUUGAAAAGGUCUAUGUUCGAGAGCAAACUUACAUGUAUAUGUGCACAGAUCGCAAUGGCACUAUAGUGCUGAUGAACGUUGAAACAUUUGAUCAGCUGGAAGUGUCCCAGGAGUUGUUUGGCAAAGAUGCUAAGUAUCUACAAGGUGAUAUGAGAGUUACAGUAAGGCUUUAUGAUGAUACACCUUUAUCUGGAUCAGUUCCAAAACGUGUGACAUGUAUUGUCAAGGAAGCACAACCUGCUAUGGUUUCAGCCACACCUAAGGAUAAAAAGGUUGUAUUGGAAAAUGGUAUGACACUCGAGGUGAGUUAAAUGCGUUACUUUUCCCACUAAUGUUUUAGCUGCUAAAUUUGUCACUUGUGCAGCUCACAAAGCAAAAGAUGAAACUAAGCCAAGAUUAAGACAAAAGUGGGCGGAAUUAACCUUCAAUUUUGGACAUUGUACAGAAGCGUCCUAAUACAUGCAUAAAGGUAUGAGGGCAAGGCCUGAUAUGGGUCCUUCAAGAAGUUAUGAAGGUUAUAUUACUAACAAAGUCUGCACCAGGUGUACUGUGAAGCGUCAUGCAUACCAAAGUUUUGAGUUUAUUUAGAUUUAAGACUACUAUAUCCAUACAUUCCUCCAAAUUAGGCUUUUGCUCUUGUUACCUCUAAAAAUGGCUCUGCCAAUUAACAACAGGGAUGACAAGCAAUACGGAGAAAACUAUUUUAUGUGUGUGUGUUGUAGGGGAGGAGUGAAGUUCUGGUACAUGUACCACAAAAUAUAAGCAGUUUGUGGCUUAUCAUUUUUUCUAAUUUCCCAGGUACCAGCGUUUGUUGUAGCUGGUGAUGCUGUUGUUAUCAAUACUGAGACCGACACUUACAUUGAAAGGGCUUAAAGCAUAAUAUUGUAAUUGCUUUAUUCUGAAGGACAGAUGGAACGUCGUUUUGUGCACCAUGCAUGUCUCUGAUUUCUGUGGGCAUCAGUCUUCAAUUUUGUUAUUUUAGGUGAGUUUUUAAACCAAAAAAAGGUCUAUAAACUUCAGGUAUUUAAGAUCAACAGGACUCCGAAAUUCCACGAAAGUGGAGUGAGGCAAUGAGAAAUAGCUCGAUUUAUGAAACAGGGGUAAGUUUUUACAUUGUUCUCGGUAUUAGUGCAUGCUGUUUUGGUACUUCCAAGAGUUCGUCAAAGGAGAAGGCGAUGAUGUAAAUUGCUCAUUGCUGCUCUUUUAUAUUUCUUUCUAAAUUGUAAUAAAAGGUUAUUUAAUGCAACGAUGCAUUGCCUUUCAAUAUUAGCCAUCACUCAUCAGGGUUAGAAUAUUAAAUCGGCAAUUUUUUUAUCAA
Corylus avellana is the source of this 1830-nucleotide RNA transcript. It is a transcript of the gene named elongation factor P (EF-P) family protein, with no coding region annotated. The record is from RefSeq and is a predicted model, not a curated record. NCBI's taxonomy places the organism in Eukaryota, Viridiplantae, Streptophyta, Magnoliopsida, Fagales, Betulaceae.